GCAAGCAAGUAGGGGAGGGACAGAGAGAGACAGGGAGACAUAGAAUCCUAAGUGGGCUCCAGGCUCUGAGCUGUCAGCACAGAACCUGACGUGAGGCUUGAACUCACAAACUGCGAGAUCACGACCUGGGGUGAAGUCAGACACCCAACCAACUGAGCCACCCAGGUGCCCCAUUGAUAGCCAUUUUAGUGUCUCUUCAAAGAAGUUAAGCCCUGUCACAGUUUAAAACCUUUAUAUUUCAGUACAUUGUAUACUUGAUUCUGGGGCGGGGGGGAGGGUGGGCAGUAAGAUGUGAGGGUAGUUGGGAACUAAAUCUAAUAACCUUUUUUUCCCAUUGCUAAAAAUUAUAAUUCUGAUAAUCAUUUAGGAUGAUCUUUCUUUCUUUCUUUCUUUCUUUCUUUCUUUCUUUCUUUCCUUAAGUAAUCUCUGCACCCACUGUGGGGCUCAAACUCAUGAUUCAGAGAUCAAGAGUCUCAUGUUCUACCAGUUGAGCCAGCCAGGUGCCCCUAAGAUGCCUCUAAAAAAUGAAAAUAAACCCAUUUUCCAGUUAGGAAUGAAACUGAAGAUUUUUGUCAUUGGUACUACAUUCUAAGCAGGGGAAACAUAGGAAAUGGCAAGAAGUGGUUUUAGUUUUUAAAGUAUAACCCUGUAUGGAGUUUAAACACACCAACUUUGCAAUGUUAACCAAGAUUUUUUUUUAUUAUUUGUACAAAAAACUUGGUGGUGACAAUGAUUUUGGCUCCUUCCCAUAAGCACUGUGUACUUAUGCCUAGUGACUUAGUCUAGAGUUAUCAACUAUGGGAAUACAAAGGGAGGAAACACUGGGGGAGGAACCUUUUAGAAUCCUGAGAAGAGGAAAUUGAUGUUUACACUGCUGUUGGCUAGUUUUGAAGCUUUUAAAAAUAAAGUUGCAUUGUAUGUCUCAAAUUUUGUACAAAGAAGACUAAUGCCAAUUGGAAAAUAGCAUUCUGGGAAGGUUUAUGACCUGAGUGGCUGGGAAACCCCCUCAGAGGCAAUGGCUCACUAGAAGGCAGUAGAGUGUGGUGAAGAACACAGCAGCUCUGAACAGAGCCUGUUUGCCCUUGGAAUAUGACUUUUUCGUUGACUCCGUUUUCUCAACUGAAAAAUAGGGGAAAGUUUUUUUUUGUACCUCGGUUGCAGGAGAUGAGGUAAGAAACUGGACGUAUAACAUGUAGCACAGAGUACAACGUCUGCAGCUUUAGCUCUUGUGAUUUCUUUAAUUACUAUUGAGGUCAUACAGUUUUCAUGUACUUAUUGGCUAUUUUAAUAUUUUGUUCUUUUAUGACUUCUACAGUCAUAUUGACUCUUUAUUUUGAUGCAAUGCCGUACUUAUAUAUUAUCAACCCAUUGUCAGACACUUAGUGAAUUAUUUUUGUUUGCCUUCUGGUUUUGUAGUGGUGAGUUUUUUAAAAAAAACAAAAUAGUCUCAGUUUUAUAUAUUUCAGUUAUUGAAGAAAUGCAAUUAUUUCAGUUGUUGAAGAUAAAUGCAAUACAUUUAUCUUCUCCAUUGUUUUUAUUUUUGUAAAAAUAUUCUCACACUAAGGUCAGAUAAUAUUUACCUAUAUUUUUAGUCUAGUUGUUUUGUAAUUUCACAUCUUAACUGUUUAAUUCUGGAAUUAAAUCUUACAUAUGUCAUGAUUAAUACUGUUUAAUAUAGAUUGUUACAAAUUCGUUCCACAUCAUGAAUUGAUGAGUUAUUUCCUCCACACCCGUUUAAAGUGCCACUUUUUUCUGAUUCCAGGUAAUUUGGUUGAAUGGAAUUGGACCUGAAAAAUAUUUUGGUGGGGAGCACCUGGCUGGUUAAUUCAAUAGAAAUGCAAGCUUCCUGAGAGGAGUGACCUUGUGUGGUGUGUUCAGCACUGUGUAUUCUCAGUACCUAAAAAUGUGACUGUUUCCUAGAAGUGCUCUCAACUACAUUCAGAGGACUGGUUGAGUAUGUCUAUGCAGACCAUGCUACUGUGUAUAAAUGAAGUUGGUAGGUGAAGGCAGUUUCUAAUUAAUUAAUGGAUAGCUUUGCAAGAGAAAGAAAGAAAAAGAGUAGAGUGGAUGGAGUAGAGAGCCCCUCUCCCCCAAUUUUAAUGUAACUGAACCUUCAUUGUGUGUGGAAGUAAACAGGUGGCUCUUUUGAGAUGUGGGUCAAUGGUUUAAAUGGUUUAGUCCAUUCCUAGAGAGACAUUGAUUAAAAUUUUUGUUUUAUUUUCGGAAUCUUCUAGAAUAUACCCUCCUUUGUUUUUGUGUGAUACUUAGUGGACUGGUGAUACCCUUCACUCACCUUUCUACAGAGAAUCUGUGAGAAAUAGAGUUGUGAGGGAGUGUGAAAAAAAGGUUAAAAAAUUUAAAUUUAACUACUUGUACGUGAAGAAUUUCUGUCUUAAAUAUCAUAAAUGCUUAUUUAUGAGUUCUAUUCUGAAAACAUGCUAAACUACUUUGACUUUUAAUUACUUUAUGUUUAGAAUACUUAAUCCUGUUCAUGUGUUUGAAAAUUUGCUAGUUAAUUGCUAUCCAAAAAAAUUCCUGGGGCACUUGGCUGGCUUAGUCAAUAGGGCUGUGGCUCUUGAUCUCAGGAUUGUGGAUUUGAGCCCUGCAUUGGGUAUAGAGAUUACUUAAAAAUAAAAUCUUUUUUAAAAAGUUCCUGAGAAGUAGAGAGAUAUUAUGACUUAUUUACAUAUUGAGAUAUGUAUUACAUAUAUUACAUUUUUACAUUACAUUAAUGUAAUUAAUAAAUUACAUUACAUUAAUAUUACAUUACAUAAUUACCUUACUACAUAUAUUGCAUAACUUAGAUCGUGGUAGGUUAAAUACUAAAGAAAUUAAGUCAGUGUAAAGUGUUUUCAUACUUUGAAAAAUUCUUUUAUUGAAAACCUCUUUCCAAAUGCUUGUGUUAAAAACAAAACUUUUAUAUCCAGGCUAUGUUCCAUGAAAUUUUUGCUCAUUGUUGUAUUAAUGUUUUGGGUGAUAUAAUUUAAUCUAUUGAGUAACUAACUGUAAUUAAAAAAUACUUCUGUAAUUUUGAGCCCUUAAUAUAACCAUGAAGAUAUUUUCCUGCUGACUUAACAGAUAUGGGUGGCAGUUUAUAGAGAGUAUGCUGUGAAGAUUACAGUUUCUUUUAUCCUUGAGUUAAGAAGUAAUUCCAAGCAGUUUUAGGCAGGGGGUUUUAAAAAUUGUCUUAGGAGAGUUUUCAUUUUAUUCUUUCAUUUUAUUCCUAUGUCAUAAUAAGAAUGUUUUAAGUUUGACAGAUACUCAAACUUGUUCUUGCUCGAAAUAUGAAAAUGGCAGGUCUGUAGAGUUUGCCAUCAUGAGACGAUGGACAAUGGCAGGAGAAGCAUCACUUUGGUUGUCACCAGAAAGACAACAAGCUAAAUGAAACUAGUAUCCAAAAGAAUUGGAAGAAGCUGUUUGGAGAAGAUAGACCUGAAAAUAAACAUUCUUUUUUCCAAUGAGAGAAAGCGGUUCAACUUGUAAGGGACUGGUUAAGUGCUUUGCCCCAAUUUUUUUUUUUUUUGUUAUUGUUUGUUUUGUUUUUUUGUUCUUUUAAUGGCAUAGCCAGGGCUAGAAUCUGGACGCCCACACUCUCAUAGGCCAGUUUUCAUUAUCAUGGCAGCAUUCUCCCUAGUUGGAGGUGAGCCCUUUUUCCUAGUCAACUUUUCAACCUACUUCUCCCCUGCAAAAGGAAGGAUUACAACAAUAUAAUAAGUAGGGAGUUUAUUAGUUUUCAUGUGUUGCUGUAACACAUUUAGCCAACAUGGUGGCUUAAAGAAUACGGUAUUUUAUAGCUCUGUUGGUUAGUAGUCUGGCACAGCUCUCAAUGGACUACAAAGUCAAAGUAUCAGAAAGGCUACAUUCCAUUCUGGAGGCUCUAGGCGAGAAUCCAUUUCCCAUCUUUUCCAGCUUCUACGAACUGCCUGUAUUCUUUGGCUCAUGGCCACUUUCCUUCCUCUGUACAGCUAGCAAAUGCUGAAGGAAUCCUCAUGCAGCCAUCUCUCUGGUUCUCUGCAAUUGGGGCAGAGUCUCGACUUUUAAAGAAUUCAUAUGAUUAGAUUAGGCUGAUUUUAUAACCCAGGAUAAUCUCUCCAUUUUAAGGUCCUUAACCUUAAUCACAUCUGCAAAGUCCUUUCUGUCCUGUAAAGCAGCAUAUUUACAAGUUCUAGGGAUUAGGAAAGAGGCAUCUUUUGAGACCUUAUCCUGCCCACCACAGAAAGCUUACAAAAUGUAUGGCUGAUUUUAUCAACAUUAAAUUCACACAUUGGAUAUUUUUAUUGACAACUAUAAAUUAAACUGGUGAUUGCCUACAGACACUAUGAAAUUUUGACCUAAUUCGGUGGGUGCAGCCAUCCCCUGCAUAAUUAAUGAGGAAAAAUCAGAUUAGAGAGUAGUGUUUCACCAAUUCAAACAUUUAAAACUCUGAGGUAUGGAUCUGAGCCUUAUAAAGUGACACAAUUCUCAGUUUAAUAUUUUUAGUGAACGGCUCAUGUCAAAUGAAGUUAAUUAAACAAAACUGAUUUGGGAAUGCAAAAAUUACAUUAGUUACCUCGUAUGUGAAUCAUCCUGGGUUUCUUUAGAUACUGAAGGGUAAUGGUGGGGCUGCCAGACGCAAAGGUGAGCCCUGGUAACCCUGAGUUUUGAAUAACGCUGUCAUUCAUUGAUCUGCCGUUAAGCCAUUUGCGUCAAAAGACACAGCAGAUGAAUCUGACAGGUAUGCCCUAACUGGUUUCCUAGGAAAGGCACAAUAUAUUCCCACAAUCAAUAACACUAGACUUGAGGCCAACAGCUGCAAAAAUAGUUUAUUUUAUUGUUCAUAUCCUGUGUUUAUCAUAGAUUUGAGCCAAUUCAUGGCACAUGUAUCCAUCCAUACUAAGCAUUAGGUCAUUUAUAUCUAACAGUAGUUUUUAAAACUUCUUUGCUAAACACCAGUGGUAAAAGAUGCAGAGGAGAGAGAACUGUAGCAUAUUACUUUUGGACAGAAAGCCUAAAAUUACUUUUUGCUGUGGUUCUCUGAAGGAAAAGAAUGGGAAGAAAAUCAGCUAUAUUCUUUCUCAUAUUCCUUUUUAUUUUUGGAAUCAUUUUCUAAGGAAAACUGAACACUACCUUACGACCCUUGCUUAGAAGACAUGAGCUUGUGGAAGGCACAUUUCUUUGCAAGAAGU
Molecule: long non-coding RNA, 5165 nt
Organism: Panthera uncia (snow leopard)
Lineage: Eukaryota; Metazoa; Chordata; Mammalia; Carnivora; Felidae
Exons: 4
Source: RefSeq, a predicted model, not a curated record